AUUGAACGCUGGCGGCAUGCUUUACACAUGCAAGUCGAACGGCAGCGCGGGCUUCGGCCUGUCGGCGAGUGGCGAACGGGUGAGUAAUGCAUCGGAACGUGCCCAGUAGUUGGGGAUAGCCCGGCGAAAGCCGGAUUAAUACCGCAUACGACCUUAGGGUGAAAGCGGGGGACCGAAAGGCCUCGCGCUAUUGGAGCGGCCGAUGUCGGAUUAGCUAGUUGGUGGGGUAAAGGCUUACCAAGGCGACGAUCCGUAGCUGGUCUGAGAGGACGACCAGCCACACUGGAACUGAGACACGGCCCAGACUCCUACGGGAGGCAGCAGUGGGGAAUUUUGGACAAUGGGGGCAACCCUGAUCCAGCCAUGCCGCGUGCGGGAAGAAGGCCUUCGGGUUGUAAACCGCUUUUGUUCGGGAAGAAAUCCUCUGGGCUAAUACCCCGGGGUGCUGACGGUACCGGAAGAAUAAGCACCGGCUAACUACGUG
RNAcentral lists this ribosomal RNA (484 nucleotides) under uncultured bacterium. RNAcentral describes it as "partial 16S ribosomal RNA". It matches the Rfam family "Bacterial small subunit ribosomal RNA", at positions 29 to 507 of the family's 1533-position model. The record is from RNAcentral.